AAUUUUCCGCAAUGGGCGAAAGCCUGACGGAGCAACGCCGCGUGAGGGAAGAAGGUCUUCGGAUCGUAAACCUUUGUCAUCGAGGACGAUAAUGACGGUACUCGAGGAGGAAGCCCCGGCUAACUACGUGCCAGCAGCCGCGGUAACACGUAGGGGGCGAGCGUUGUCCGGAAUUACUGGGCGUAAAGGGCGCGUAGGCGGCCUAAUAAGUCAGAUGUGAAACCCCCGGGCUUAACCCUGGGCUUGCAUUUGAAACUGUUGGGCUUGAGGACAGGAGAGGAAAGCGGAAUUCCCAGUGUAGCGGUGAAAUGCGUAGAUAUUGGGAGGAACACCAGUGGCGAAGGCGGCUUUCUGGACUGUAACUGACGCUGAGGCGCGAAAGCCAGGGUAGCGAACG
RNAcentral lists this ribosomal RNA (397 nucleotides) under uncultured bacterium. RNAcentral's name for it is "partial 16S ribosomal RNA". It matches the Rfam family "Bacterial small subunit ribosomal RNA", at positions 360 to 774 of the family's 1533-position model. The record is from RNAcentral.